RNAcentral lists this ribosomal RNA (253 nucleotides) under uncultured bacterium. Its description in RNAcentral is "partial 16S ribosomal RNA". It matches the Rfam family "Bacterial small subunit ribosomal RNA", at positions 524 to 776 of the family's 1533-position model. The record is from RNAcentral.
UACGUAGGGGCCUAGCGUUGCUCGGAAUCACUGGGCGUAAAGCGCACGUAGGCGGCUUUUUAAGUCAGGGGUGAAAUCCCGGGGCUCAACCUCGGAACUGCCUUUGAUACUGCGAAUCUUGAGUCCGAUAGAGGUGGGUGGAAUUCCUAGUGUAGAGGUGAAAUUCGUAGAUAUUAGGAAGAACACCGGUGGCGAAGGCGGCCCGCUGGAGCGGUACUGACGCUGAGGUGCGAAAGCGUGGGGAGCAAACAGG